Molecule: long non-coding RNA, 1649 nt
Filed under: Pan troglodytes (chimpanzee)
Lineage: Eukaryota; Metazoa; Chordata; Mammalia; Primates; Hominidae
Description: long non-coding RNA NONPTRT005313
Source: RNAcentral
CUUUUUUAUUCUAGAGGUGCUUUUCUCCUAUUUGUGCUUUUACCCUUCUUAGAAUCUGGUGUCUGUUAAACUUCAUCUGCGGACCAAGAAGGAAGGGACAACAAAAAUAGGAAGGAUUGACUCAGACCAGGAACAGGACAUUGUCCUGCAGGGUCAGUGGAUUGAGAGAGACCACUGCACUAUCACCAGUGCCUGUGGUGUAGUUGUUCUCCGACCUGCCCGUGGGGCCCGCUGUACAGUCAAUGGCCGGGAGGUCACUGCCUCCUGCCGUCUGACUCAAGGUAGGACUGUCUGUAGCCCUGUUUAUCCCAAGAUGAGUGAUGGACCAGCUCCAGUUUCAUGGGCCCAAAGAGCUCAGUGAAGCAGGCUUUAAAAAUGGAUCACCCAGCCUCUGCACCCUGAAGUCUGAAGAUUUUCUAAUAUGAUCCUAUUCCCAUAAACAAGCCUUAAUUCCAAAGUCUUGGAGUGAAGAAUGACUGUAUGAAAUUUGUACCUGUGUUCAUUAGCUCUGUCUCCCUAGGAAAGUCUCUGAGCCUCAACUUUCCUCAUCUAUAAAAUGGGGAUAAUAAUAGGAUCAUUGUGAGGAUUGAAUGAACCUUAUAGUUCUUAACAGUGUGCUUUGCACUCCGUAAACACUCAUUAUCAUUAUUACUUUAAUUACCGCUACUGUUAUUAAUCUAUGCAAAUUCUGUCUGUCCUUUUGAGACUGAGCUGAGAUUCCUCCUCUUCCAUCAAGUGUUCCCUGACUACUCCACCUGGAACUCAACUUCCUUUCCCUUGGAAUAGUAGAGUUCUUCCUGUCUGUCUUAUUAAUUCAAGAUGUACGCUGUGAGAUGCAGAAUUAAUACGUAUCUUAUCAACUCAGCAAAAUUAUCAGUUAUCGAGGGCAUGACUUUGUCUCACAGAGCAGUGCCGUACACAUAGUAUGUACUCCAAAACAUGAGCUGUUGAUUGAAUUCUCAUUUGUCUCUGUGCUGCAGGAGCUGUCAUAACCCUGGGGAAGGCACAGAAGUUCCGAUUCAACCACCCAGCAGAGGCUGCUGUCCUGCGGCAGCGAAGGCAGGUUAGCAGGGCUGUGUUUUCUAGGUUAUUGCUGGCCUCCCUGUUUCCACUUUUUAGAUGAAAAGCCAAGCUGGGAGAGGUGGAGGUGAUGACAGCAGCCUCACUGUGCUUUCUUCCUUGUUCAAGGUUGGAGAGGCUGCUGCUGGUCGUGGCUCAUUGGAGUGGCUGGAUUUGGAUGGAGAUCUCGCUGCCUCCCGGCUGGGUCUCUCCCCUUUGCUUUGGAAGGAAAGGUAAGAAAUAGCUGCUUAUACUGAUGUGGAACCUACUGGGUUCGCUUCUUAGUCCAUGACAGCAUGGAUCAGGGUGGGGGUGGGGGGUGAUUAAUGUAGCAGCCAAGGUCUGAAUGAGCCCUUGUCUGAAUCAACUUGGGCAAGUCAUUUGAUGAUGCUGAACUAGCUGCUAAGUUCGUAGUUGGCAGGGAAUUGGUCUUGGCCCUUGUUCAUUUCCUCUUUGGUAUUUCAACUUUUUUCAUCACUGAAAGAGGUACAUUAUUUGAUGUUCCUGUGGCCACUUUUCUCUCUCCACAAAAUUUAGCUGUGCUGUGUUUGUGGACAUCUUUGUUCUGAGCUUACCUUCCUAUAUACUCC